CAAGUAGGCGGUCUAUUAAGCGAGGGGUGAAAUCUUCCGACUCAAUCGGAAAACUGCCUUUCGAACUGAUAGACUUGAGGUAUGUAGAGGGAAGUGGAAUUUCCGGUGUAAGGGUGAAAUCUGUAGAUAUCGGAAAGAACACCAACGGCGAAGGCAACUUCCUGGGCAUAUCCUGACGCUAAAUUGCGAAAGCUAGGGGAGCAAACAGGAUUAGAUACCCUGGUAGUCC
This 229-nucleotide ribosomal RNA is filed under the name uncultured bacterium. Its description in RNAcentral is "partial 16S ribosomal RNA". It matches the Rfam family "Bacterial small subunit ribosomal RNA", at positions 568 to 796 of the family's 1533-position model. The record is from RNAcentral.